GACCUUUGGUGGAGUUGAUGGGUUAGUCGCAAGACUCUACUCAUCACACUCUACCUUUUUGGGGUGAGUAUAAAGAAUAACAUCUCUAUACCCAGCCCCGCGUUACUGUGAAGAAAUUAGAGUGUUUAAAGCAGGCGUUAGCUUGAAUACGUGAGCAUGGAAUAACAAGAUUAAGCCAUCGGCUACUUGUUGGUUUGGAGACGUUGGUAAUGAUUAAUAGGGCCAGUUGGGGGCAUUAGUAUUUGGCAGUCAGAGGUGAAAUUCUUGGAUUUGCCAAAGACUAACUAGUGCGAAGGCAUU
RNAcentral lists this ribosomal RNA (300 nucleotides) under uncultured Allapsidae. Its description in RNAcentral is "bacterial SSU rRNA". The stretch from base 103 to 300 matches the Rfam family "Eukaryotic small subunit ribosomal RNA", at positions 752 to 955 of the family's 1831-position model. Lineage: Eukaryota; Cercozoa; Glissomonadida; Viridiraptoridae. The record is from RNAcentral.